AAGAAACUAACAAGGAUUCCCCUAGUAACUGCGAGUGAAGAGGGAAGAGCUCAAAUUUUGAAUCUGGCGGUCUUUUGGUCGCCCGAGUUGUAAUCUAGAGAAGUGUUUUCCGCGCUGGACCGUGUAUAAGUUUCCUGGAAUGGAACGUCGUAGAGGGUGAGAAUCCCGUCUUUGACACGGACUACCAGGGCUAUGUGAUGCGCUUUCAACGAGUCGAGUUGUUUGGGAAUGCAGCUCAAAUAGGGUGGUAAAUUCCAUCUAAAGCUAAAUACAGGCGAGAGACCGAUAGCGAACAAGUACCGUGAGGGAAAGAUGAAAAGAACUUUGGAAAGAGAGUUAAACAGUACGUGAAAUUGCUGAAAGGGAAACGCUUGAUGUCAGUCGCGUCGACCGGGGAUCAGCCUUGCUUAACCGCUCGGCGUACUUCCUGGUCGACGGGUCAGCAUCAGUUUUGACCGUCGGAAAAGGACUGGAGGAAUGUGGCACUCUUUCGGGAGUGUGUUAUAGACUCUGCUCGAAUACGAUGGUUGGGACUGAGGAACUCAGCACGACCUUAGGGUUCGGGGCUUCGGCCCACGUUUGCGUGCUUAGGAUGCUGGCAUAAUGGCCUUAAGCGACCCGUCU
Molecule: ribosomal RNA, 624 nt
Filed under: uncultured fungus
Lineage: Eukaryota; Fungi
Description: eukaryotic LSU rRNA
Rfam family: Eukaryotic large subunit ribosomal RNA
Source: RNAcentral